UAAGGAAUAUUGGACAAUGGAGGCAACUCUGAUCCAGCCAUGCCGCGUGAAGGAAUAAGGCCCUAUGGGUUGUAAACUUCUUUUAGACGGGACAAAACCCCUUUACGUGUAAAGGGUUGAUGGUACUGUCAGAAUAAGCAUCGGCUAACUUCGUGCCAGCAGCCGCGGUAAUACGAAGGAUGCAAGCGUUAUCCGGAAUUAUUGGGUUUAAAGGGUGCGUAGGCGGACUAAUAAGUCAGUGGUGAAAGCCUGCAGCUUAACUGCAGAAUUGCCAUUGAUACUGUUAGUCUUGAGUACAGUUGAGGUAGGCGGAAUGUGUCAUGUAGCGGGGAAAUGCUUAGAUAUGACACAGAACACCGAUUGCGAAGGCAGCUUGCUAAGCUGUAACUGACGCUGAGGCACGAAAGCGUGGG
RNAcentral lists this ribosomal RNA (413 nucleotides) under uncultured bacterium. RNAcentral's name for it is "bacterial SSU rRNA". It matches the Rfam family "Bacterial small subunit ribosomal RNA", at positions 355 to 765 of the family's 1533-position model. The record is from RNAcentral.